ACGGAAGGCAGCAGUGGGGAAUAUUGCACAAUGGGCGAAAGCCUGAUGCAGCGACGCCGCGUGAGUGAUGAAGUAUUUCGGUAUGUAAAGCUCUAUCAGCAGGGAAGAAAAUGACGGUACCUGACUAAGAAGCCCCGGCUAACUACGUGCCAGCAGCCGCGGUAAUACGUAGGGGGCAAGCGUUAUCCGGAUUUACUGGGUGUAAAGGGAGCGUAGGUGGCAAGACAAGCCAGAAGUGAAAAUCCGGGGCUCAACCUCGGAACUGCUUUUGGAACUGUCUAGCUAGAGUGCAGGAGAGGUAAGCGGAAUUCCUAGUGUAGCGGUGAAAUGCGUAGAUAUUAGGAGGAACACCAGUGGCGAAGGCGGCUUACUGGACUGUAACUGACACUGAGGCUCGAAAGCGUGGGGAGCAAACAGGAUUAGAUACCCUGGUA
Molecule: ribosomal RNA, 434 nt
Filed under: uncultured Lachnospiraceae bacterium
Lineage: Bacteria; Bacillati; Bacillota; Clostridia; Lachnospirales; Lachnospiraceae
Description: bacterial SSU rRNA
Rfam family: Bacterial small subunit ribosomal RNA
Source: RNAcentral